RNAcentral lists this ribosomal RNA (495 nucleotides) under uncultured bacterium. RNAcentral's name for it is "bacterial SSU rRNA". It matches the Rfam family "Bacterial small subunit ribosomal RNA", at positions 28 to 508 of the family's 1533-position model. The record is from RNAcentral.
GAUGAACGCUAGCUACAGGCUUAACACAUGCAAGUCGAGGGGAAACGAUAUUGGAAGCUUGCUUCCGAUAGGCGUCGACCGGCGCACGGGUGAGUAACGCGUAUCCAACCUGCCCACCACUUGGGGAUAACCUUGCGAAAGUAAGACUAAUACCCAAUGAUAUCCCACGAAGGCAUCCGAAUGGGAUUAAAGAUUUAUCGGUGAUGGAUGGGGAUGCGUCUGAUUAGCUUGUUGGCGGGGUAACGGCCCACCAAGGCAACGAUCAGUAGGGGUUCUGAGAGGAAGGUCCCCCACAUUGGAACUGAGACACGGUCCAAAACUCCUACGGGAGGCAGCAGUGAGGAAUAUUGGUCAAUGGGCGAGAGCCUGAACCAGCCAAGUAGCGUGCAGGACGACGGCCCUAUGGGUUGUAAACUGCUUUUAUAAGGGAAUAAAGUGAGUCUCGUGAGACUUUUUGCAUGUACCUUAUGAAUAAGGACCGGCGUAAUUCCGUAG